AGCAUAUUAAUAAGCGGAGGAAAAGAAACUAACAAGGAUUCCCUCAGUAACAGCGAGUGAAGCGGGAACAGCUCAAAUUUGAAAUCUCCGACGCUUGCGUCGGCGAGUUGUAGUUGCGAGAAGCACUUUCUAGGCGGAUCGGUGGUGCCUAAGUUGCUUGGAACAGUACGUCAUAGAGGGUG
This 182-nucleotide ribosomal RNA is filed under the name Goniopora sp. RNAcentral's name for it is "partial 28S ribosomal RNA". It matches the Rfam family "Eukaryotic large subunit ribosomal RNA", at positions 37 to 214 of the family's 3401-position model. Lineage: Eukaryota; Metazoa; Cnidaria; Anthozoa; Scleractinia; Poritidae. The record is from RNAcentral.